Molecule: ribosomal RNA, 761 nt
Filed under: Alloprevotella tannerae
Lineage: Bacteria; Pseudomonadati; Bacteroidota; Bacteroidia; Bacteroidales; Prevotellaceae
Description: bacterial SSU rRNA
Rfam family: Bacterial small subunit ribosomal RNA
Source: RNAcentral
GAUGAACGCUAGCUACAGGCUUAACACAUGCAAGUCGUGGGGCAGCGGAUGCUUAGCUUGCUAAGUAUGCCGGCGACCGGCGCACGGGUGAGUAACGCGUACCGAACCUGCCCAUCACACAGGGAUAGGCUUGCGAAAGCAAGAUUAAUACCUGAUGGUCUCAGUUGUAUGCAUGUAUAAUUGAGUAAAGCCUUCGGGCGGUGAUGGAUGGCGGUGCGUCCCAUUAGGAAGUUGGCGGGGUAACGGCCCACCAAUCCUUCGAUGGGUAGGGGUUCUGAGAGGAAGGUCCCCCACAUUGGAACUGAGAUACGGUCCAAACUCCUACGGGAGGCAGCAGUGAGGAAUAUUGGUCAAUGGGCGAGAGCCUGAACCAGCCAAGUAGCGUGCGGGAUGAAGGCCCUUGUGGUCGUAAACCGCUUUUAUCAGUAAAUAAAGUGCACCACGUGUGGUGUCAUUGCAGGUAGCUGAAGAAAAAGGACCGGCUAAUUCCGUGCCAGCAGCCGCGGUAAUACGGAAGGUCCGGGCGUUAUCCGGAAUUAUUGGGUUUAAAGGGAGCGCAGGCGGGAGUGUAAGUCAGCUGUUAAAUAUCAGGGCCCAACUCUGUUAUGCAGUUGAAACUAUAUUUCUUGAGUACGCACAGGGAUGGCGGAAUUCAGGGUGUAGCGGUGAAAUGCUUAGAUAUCCUGAAGAACUCCGAUCGCGAAGGCAGCCAUCCGGAGCGUAACUGACGCUGAGGCUCGAAGGUGCGGGUAUCGAACAGG